CCUACGGGUGGCAGCAGUGAGGAAUAUUGGUCAAUGGGCGGGAGCCUGAACCAGCCAAGUCGCGUGAGGGACGACGGUCCUAUGGAUUGUAAACCUCUUUUGUCGGGGAACAAAGGCGCCUACGGGUGGGCGGCUGAGUGUACCCUACGAAAAAGCAUCGGCUAACUCCGUGCCAGCAGCCGCGGUAAUACGGAGGAUUCGAGCGUUAUCCGGAUUUAUUGGGUUUAAAGGGUGCGUAGGCGGACAGUCAAGUCAGCGGUAAAAAUGCGGUGCUCAACGCCGUACAGCCGUUGAAACUGGCAGGCUUGAGUGUGCGAGAGGUAGGCGGAAUGCGUGGUGUAGCGGUGAAAUGCUUAGAUAUCACGCAGAACUCCGAUUGCGAAGGCAGCAUACCGGGGCCCGACUGACGCUGAGGCACGAAAGCGUGGGUAUCGAACAGGAUUAGAUACCCUUGUAGUC
RNAcentral lists this ribosomal RNA (459 nucleotides) under uncultured bacterium. RNAcentral describes it as "partial 16S ribosomal RNA". It matches the Rfam family "Bacterial small subunit ribosomal RNA", at positions 338 to 795 of the family's 1533-position model. The record is from RNAcentral.